This 12350-nucleotide long non-coding RNA is filed under the name Xyrichtys novacula (pearly razorfish). The record is from RNAcentral. Lineage: Eukaryota; Metazoa; Chordata; Actinopteri; Labriformes; Labridae.
UAGGGCUAUGGUAAGGUUUAAGGUUUUUGGCGUUAGGGUUAAAAUCACUGUCCAAAACCUUUGUAGGAACUCUUUUCCAAACUUUUGGAGUCAGUUAGACCAAAAAAAAUGAAAAAUGAAAUAAAAAAUAUUUGGGGUGUUCAGCCUUCCUGAAGGUAAUACCCGGGUAUUAGGUUAUGGGGCUUAGGAAAUGUUUAAGGUUUUUGGCGUUAGGGUUAAAAUCACUGUCCAAAACCUUUGUAGGAACUGUUUCUAAACUUUUGGAGUCAGUUAGACCCAAAAAAAAGAAAAAUGAAAAAAAAAUAUUUGGGGUUUUCAGGAUUCCUGGAGGUAAUACCCUAAUAUUAGGUUUUGGGGCUAGGGUAAGGUUUGAGGUUUUUGGCGUUAGGGUUAAAAUCACUGUCCAAAACCUUUUUAGGAACAUGUUUCAGACCUUUUGGAGUUGGUUACAUACAAAAAAAAUGUAAAAUGAAAAAAAAUAUAUUUGGGGUGUUCGGGCUUCCUGAAGGUAAUACCCGGGUAUUAGGUUAUGGGGCUAUGGUAAGGUUUAAGGUUUUUGACGUUAGGGUUGAAAAUAACUUUCCAAAACCUUUGUAGGAACUCUUUUCCAACCUUAUGGAGUUCGUUAGACCAAAAAAAAAAAGAAAAAUGAAAAAAAAUUAUUUGGGGUGUUCGGGCUUCCUGAAGGUAAUACCCGGGUAUUAGGUUAUGGGGCUUAGGAAAUGUUUAAGGUUUUUGGCGUUAGGGUUAAAAUCACUGUCCAAAAACCUUUGUAGGAACUCUUUUCCAACCUUUUGGAGUUAGGUUGACCAAAAAAAAAAAGAAAAAAGGAAUAAAAAAUAUUUGGGGUGUUCGGGCUUCCUGAAGGUAAUACCCGGGUAUUAGGUUUUGGUGCUAGGGUAAGGUUUGAGGUUUUUGGCAUUAGGGUUAAAAUCACUGUCCAAAACCUUUUUAGGAACACCUUUCAGACCUUUUGGAGUUUGUACACCAAAAAAAAAAUGUAAAAAGAAAAAAGAAAAAAAAAAAUAUUCGGGGUGUUCGGGCUUCCUGAAGGUAAUACCCGGGUAUUAGGUUUUGGGGCUAGGGUAAGGUUUGAGGUUUUUGGCAUUAGGGUUAAAAUCACUGUCCAAAACCUUUUUAGGAACACGUUUCAGACCUUUUGGAGUUUGUACACCGAAAAAAAAAGUGUAAAAUUAAAAAAAAAUAUUUGGGGUGUUCGGGCUUCCUGAAGGUAAUACCCGGGUAUCAGGUUAUGGGGCUAGGGUAAGGUUUAAGGUUUUUGGCGUUACGGUUAAAAUCACUGUUCAAAACCUUUGUAGGAACUGUUUCUAAACUUUUGGAGUCAGUUAGACCCCAAAAAAAGAGAAAUGAAAAAAAAAUAUUUGGGGUUUUCAGGCUUCCUGGAGGUAAUACCCUAAUAUUAGGUUUUGGGGCUAGGGUAAGGUUUGAGGUUUUUGGCGUUAGGGUUAAAAUCACUGUCCAAAACCUUUUUAGGAACAUGUUUCAGACCUUUUGGAGUUGGUUACAUACAAAAAAAAUGUAAAAUGAAAAAAAAAAUAUUUGGGGUGUUCGGGCUUCCUGAAGGUAAUACCCGGGUAUUAGGUUAUGGGGCUUAGGAAAUGUUUAAGGUUUUUGGCGUUAGGGUUAAAAUCACUGUCCAAAAACCUUUGUAGGAACUCUUUUCCAACCUUUUGGAGUUAGGUUGACCAAAAAAAAAAAGAAAAAAGAAAAAAAAUGUAUUUGGGGUGUUCGGGCUUCCUGAAGGUAAUACCCGGGUAUUAGGUUAUGGGGCUUUGGAAAGUUUUAGGGUUUUUGGCAUCAGGGUUAAAAUCACUGUCCAAAAACCUUUGUAGGAUUUCUUUUCCAACCUUUUGGAGUUAGUUAGACCAAAAAAAAAAAGAAAAAAGGAAUAAAAAAUAUUUGGGGUGUUCGGGCUUCCUGAAGGUAAUACCCGGGUAUUAGGUUUUGGUGCUAGGGUAAGGUUUGAGGUUUUUGGCAUUAGGGUUAAAAUCACUGUCCAAAACCUUUUUAGGAACACCUUUCAGACCUUUUGGAGUUUGUACACCAAAAAAAAAAAAAGUAAAAUGAAAAAAAAAUUUUUGGGGUGUUCGGGCUUCCUGAAGGUAAUACCCGGGUAUCAGGUUAUGGGGCUAUGGUAAGGUUUAAGGUUUUUGGCGUUAGGGUUAAAAUCACUGUCCAAAACCUUUGUAGGAACUGUUUCUAAACUUUUGGAGUCAGUUAGACCAAAGAAAAAUGAAAAAUGAAAUAAAAAAUAUUUGGGGUGUUCAGGCUUCCUGAAGGUAAUACCCGGGUAUUAGGUUAUGGGGCUUAGGAAAUGUUUAAGGUUUUUGGCGUUAGGGUUAAAAUCACUGUCCAAAACCUUUGUAGGAACUGUUUCUAAACUUCUGGAGUCAGUUAGACCCAAAAAAAAGAGAAAUGAAAAAAAAAUAUUUGGGGUUUUCAGGAUUCCUGGAGGUAAUACCCUAAUAUUAGGUUUUGGGGCUAGGGUAAGGUUUGAGGUUUUUGGCGUUAGGGUUAAAAUCACUGUCCAAAACCUUUUUAGGAACAUGUUUCAGACCUUUUGGAGUUGGUUACAUACAAAAAAAAUGUAAAAUGAAAAAAAAAUAUUUGGGGUGUUCGGGCUUCCUGAAGGUAAUACCCGGGUAUUAGGUUAUGGGGCUAUGGUAAGGUUUAAGGUUUUUGACGUUAGGGUGAAAAUAACUUUCCAAAACCUUUGUAGGAACUCUUUUCCAACCUUAUGGAGUUCGUUAGACCAAAAAAAAAAGAAAAAUGAAAAAAAAAAUUUGGGGUGUUCGGGCUUCCUGAAGGUAAUACCCGGGUAUUAGGUUAUGUGGCUUAGGAAAUGUUUAAGGUUUUUGGCGUUAGGGUUAAAAUCACUGUCCAAAAACCUUUGUAGGAACUCUUUUCCAACCUUUUGGAGUUAGGUUGACCAAAAAAAAAAAGAAAAAAGAAAAAAAAAUAUUUGGGGUGUUCGGGCUUCCUGAAGGUAAUACCCGGGUAUUAGGUUUUGGUGCUAGGGUAAGGUUUGAGGUUUUUGGCAUUAGGGUUAAAAUCACUGUCCAAAACCUUUUUAGGAACACCUUUCAGACCUUUUGGAGUUUGUACACCAAAAAAAAAUGUAAAAAGAAAAAAGAAAAAAAAAUAUUUGGGGUGUUCGGGCUUCCUGAAGGUAAUACCCGGGUAUUAGGUUUUGGGGCUAGGGUAAGGUUUGAGGUUUUUGGCAUUAGGGUUAAAAUCACUGUCCAAAACCUUUUUAGGACCACGUUUCAGACCUUUUGGAGUUUGUACACCGAAAAAAAAUGUAAAAUUAAAAAAAAAUAUUUGGGGUGUUCGGGCUUCCUGAAGGUAAUACCCGGGUAUCAGGUUAUGGGGCUAUGGUAAGGUUUAAGGUUUUUGGCGUUACGGUUAAAAUCACUGUCCAAAACCUUUGUAGGAACUGUUUCUAAACUUUUGGAGUCAGUUAGACCCAAAAAAAAAGAGAAAUGAAAAAAAAUAUUUGGGGUUUUCAGGCUUCCUGGAGGUAAUACCCUAAUAUUAGGUUUUGGGGCUAGGGUAAGGUUUGAGGUUUUUGGCGUUAGAGUUAAAAUCACUGUCCAAAACCUUUUUAGGAACAUGUUUCAGACCUUUUGGAGUUGGUUACAUACAAAAAAAAUGUAAAAUGAAAAAAAAAAUAUUUGGGGUGUUCGGGCUUCCUGAAGGUAAUACCCGGGUAUUAGGUUAUGGGGCUAUGGUAAGGUUUAAGGUUUUUGACGUUAGGGUGAAAAUAACUUUCCAAAACCUUUGUAGGAACUCUUUUCCAACCUUAUGGAGUUCGUUAGACCAAAAAAAAAGAAAAAUAAAAAAAAUGUAUUUGGGGUGUUCGGGCUUCCUGAAGGUAGUACCCGGGUAUUAGGUUAUGGGGCUUAGGAAAGGUUUAAGGUUUUUGGCGUUAGGGUUAAAAUCACUGUCCAAAACCUUUGUAGGAACUCUUUUCCAAACACGGAGUCAGUUAGACCAAAAAAAAAUGAAAAAUGAAAUAAGAAAUAUUUGGGGUGUUCAGGCUUCCUGAAGGUAAUACCCGGGUAUUAGGUUAUGGGGCUUAGGAAAUGUUUAAGGUUUUUGGCGUUAGGGUUAAAAUCACUGUCCAAAAACCUUUGUAGGAACUCUUUUCCAACCUUUUGGAGUUAGGUUGACCAAAAAAAAAAAGUGUAAAAUGAAAAAAAAAUAUUUGGGGUGUUCGGGCUUCCUGAAGGUAAUACCCGGGUAUUAGGUUUUGGGGCUAGGGUAAGGUUUGAGGUUUUUGGCAUUAGGGUUAAAAUCACUGUCCAAAACCUUUUUAGGAACACGUUUCAGACCUUUUGGAGUUUGUACACCGAAAAAAAAAAGUAAAAUUAAAAAAAAUAUUUGGGGUGUUCGGGCUUCCUGAAGGUAAUACCCGGGUAUCAGGUUAUGGGGCUAUGGUAAGGUUUAAGGUUUUUGGUGUUACGGUUAAAAUCACUGUCCAAAACCUUUGUAGGAACUGUUUCUAAACUUUUGGAGUCAGUUAGACCCAAAAAAAAGAGAAAUGAAUAAAAAAUAUUUGGGGUUUUCAGGCUUCCUGGAGGUAAUACCCUAAUAUUAGGUUUUGGGGCUAGGGUAAGGUUUGAGGUUUUUGGCGUUAGGGUUAAAAUCACUGUCCAAAACCUUUUUAGGAACAUGUUUCAGACCUUUUGGAGUUGGUUACAUACAAAAAAAAUGUAAAAUGAAAAAAAAAAUUAUGGGGUGUUCGGGCUUCCUGAAGGUAAUACCCGGGUAUUAGGUUAUGGGGCUAUGGUAAGGUUUAAGGUUUUUGACGUUAGGGUGAAAAUAACUUUCCAAAACCUUUGUAGGAACUCUUUUCCAACCUUAUGGAGUUCGUUAGACCAAAAAAAAAGAAAAAUGAAAAAAAAAUAUUUGGGGUGUUCGGGCUUCCUGAAGGUAAUACCCGGGUAUUAGGUUAUGGGGCUUAGGAAAUGUUUAAGGUUUUUGGCGUUAGGGUUAAAAUCACUGUCCAAAAACCUUUGUAGGAACUCUUUUCCAACCUUUUGGAGUUAGGUUGACCAAAAAAAAAAAGAAAAAAGAAAAAAAAAUAUUUGGGGUGUUCGGGCUUCCUGAAGGUAAUACCCGGGUAUAAGGUUUUGGUGCUAGGGUAAGGUUUGAGGUUUUUGGCAUUAGGGUUAAAAUCACUGUCCAAAACCUUUUUAGGAACACCUUUCAGACCUUUUGGAGUUUGUACACCAAAAAAAAAAUGUAAAAUGAAAAAAAAAAUUAUGGGGUGUUCAGGCUUCCUGAAGGUAAUACCCGGGUAUUAGGUUAUGGGGCUAUGGUAAGGUUUAAGGUUUUUGACGUUAGGGUGAAAAUAACUUUCCAAAACCUUUGUAGGAACUCUUUUCCAACCUUAUGGAGUUCGUUAGACCAAAAAAAAAAAAGAAAAAUGAAAAAAAAAUAUUUGGGGUGUUCAGGCUUCCUGAAGGUAAUACCCGGGUAUUAGGUUAUGGGGCUUAGGAAAUGUUUAAGGUUUUUGGCGUUAGGGUUAAAAUCACUGUCCAAAAACCUUUGUAGGAACUCUUUUCAAACCUUUUGGAGUUAGGUUGACCAAAAAAAAAAAAGAAAAAAGAAAAAAAAAUAUUUGGGGUGUUCGGGCUUCCUGAAGGUAAUACCCGGGUAUUAGGUUUUGGUGCUAGGGUAAGGUUUGAGGUUUUUGGCAUUAGGGUUAAAAUCACUGUCCAAAACCUUUUUAGGAACACCUUUCAGACCUUUUGGAGUUUGUACACCAAAAAAAAAAUGUAAAAUGAAAAAAAAAAAAUUGGGGUGUUCGGGCUUCCUGAAGGUAAUACCCGGGUAUUCAGGUUAUGGGGCUAUGGUAAGGUUUAAGGUUUUUGACGUUAGGGUGAACAUAACUUUCCAAAACCUUUGUAGGAUCUCUUUUCCAACCUUAUGGAGUUCGUUAGACCAAAAAAAAAAGAAAAUGAAAAAAAAAUAUUUGGGGUGUUCAGGCUUCCUGAAGGUAAUACCCGGGUAUUAGGUUAUGGGGCUUAGGAAAUGUUUAAGGUUUUUGGCGUUAGGGUUAAAAUCACUGUCCAAAAACCUUUGUAGGAACUCUUUUCCAACUUUUUGGAGUUAGGUUGACCAAAAAAAAAAAGAAAAAAGAAAAAAAAAUUUUUGGGGUGUUCGGGCUUCCUGAAGGUAAUACCCGGGUAUUAGGUUUUGGUGCUAGGGUAAGGUUUGAGGUUUUUGGCAUUAGGGUUAAAAUCACUGUCCAAAACCUUUUUAGGAACACCUUCUAGAACUGUUGGAGUUUGUACACCAAAAAAAAAAUGUAAAAAGAAAAAAGAAAAAAAAAUAUUUGGGGUGUUCGGGCUUCCUGAAGGUAAUACCCGGGUAUUAGGUUUUGGGGCUAGGGAAAGGUUUGAGGUUUUUGGCAUUAGGGUUAAAAUCACUGUCCAAAACCUUUUUAGGAACACGUUUCAGACCUUUUGGAGUUUGUACACCGAAAAAAAAAUGUAAAAUUAAAAAAAAAUAUUUGGGGUGUUCGGGCUUCCUGAAGGUAAUACCCGGGUAUCAGGUUAUGGGGCUAUGGUAAGGUUUAAGGUUUUUGGCGUUACGUUUAAAAUCACUGUCCAAAACCUUUGUAGGAACUGUUUCUAAACUUUUGGAGUCAGUUAGACCCAAAAAAAAGAGAAAUGAAAAAAAAAAUUUUGGGGUUUUCAGGCUUCCUGGAGGUAAUACCCUAAUAUUAGGUUUUGGGGCUAGGGUAAGGUUUGAGGUUUUUGGCGUUAGGGUUAAAAUCACUGUCCAAAACCUUUUUAGGAACAUGUUUCAGACCUUUUGGAGUUGGUUACAUACAAAAAAAAUGUAAAAUGAAAAAAAAAAUAUUUGGGGUGUUCGGGCUUCCUGAAGGUAAUACCCGGGUAUUAGGUUAUGGGGCUAUGGUAAGGUUUAAGGUUUUUGGCGUUUGGGUUAAAAUCACUGUCCAAAAACCUUUGUAGGAACUCUUUUCCAACCUUUUGGAGUUAGGUUGACCAAAAAAAAAAAAGAAAAAAGAAAAAAAAAUGUAUUUGGGGUGUUCGGGCUUCCUGAAGGUAAUACCCGGGUAUUAGGUUUUGGUGCUAGGGUAAGGUUUGAGGUUUUUGGCAUUAGGGUUAAAAUCACUGUCCAAAACCUUUUUAGGAACACCUUUCAGACCUUUUGGAGUUUGUACACCAAAAAAAAAUGUAAAAUGAAAAAAAAAAAUUUGGGGUGUUCGGGCUUCCUGAAGGUAAUACCCGGGUAUCAGGUUAUGGGGCUAUGGUAAGGUUUAAGGUUUUUGACGUUAGGGUGAAAAUAACUUUCCAAAACCUUUGUAGGAACUCUUUUCCAACCUUAUGGAGUUCGUUAGACCAAAAAAAAAAGAAAAAUGAAAAAAAAAUAUUUGGGGUGUUCAGGCUUCCUGAAGGUAAUACCCGGGUAUUAGGUUAUGGGGCUUAGGAAAUGUUUAAGGUUUUUGGCGUUAGGGUUAAAAUCACUGUCCAAAAACCUUUGUAGGAACUCUUUUCCAACUUUUUGGAGUUAGGUUGACCAAAAAAAAAAAAAAAAAAAAAAAAAAAAUUUUUGGGGUGUUCGGGCUUCCUGAAGGUAAUACCCGGGUAUUAGGUUUUGGUGCUAGGGUAAGGUUUGAGGUUUUUGGCAUUAGGGUUAAAAUCACUGUCCAAAACCUUUUUAGGAACACCUUUCAGACCUUUUGGAGUUUGUACACCAAAAAAAAAAUGUAAAAAGAAAAAAGAAAAAAAAAUAUUUGGGGUGUUCGGGCUUCCUGAAGGUAAUACCCGGGUAUUAGGUUAUGGGGCUUAGGAAAUGUUUAAGGUUUUUGGCGUUAGGGUUAAAAUCACUGUCCAAAAACCUUUGUAGGAACUCUUUUCCAACCUUUUGGAGUUAGGUUGACCAAAAAAAAAAAGAAAAAAGAAAAAAAAAUAUUUGGGGUGUUCGGGCUUCCUGGAGGUAAUACCCUAAUAUUAGGUUUUGGGGCUAGGGUAAGGUUUGAGGUUUUUGGCGUUAGGGUUAAAAUCACUGUCCAAAACCUUUUUAGGAACAUGUUUCAGACCUUUUGGAGUUGGUUACAUACAAAAAAAAUGUAAAAUGAAAAAAAAAAUUAUGGGGUGUUCGGGCUUCCUGAAGGUAAUACCCGGGUAUUAGGUUAUGGGGCUAUGGUAAGGUUUAAGGUUUUUGACGUUAGGGUGAAAAUAACUUUCCAUAACCUUUGUAGGAACUCUUUUCCAACCUUAUGGAGUUCGUUAGACCAAAAAAAAAAGAAAAAUGAAAAAAAAAAUAUUUGGGGUGUUCGGGCUUCCUGAAGGUAAUACCCGGGUAUUAGGUUAUGGGGCUUAGGAAAUGUUUAAGGUUUUUGGCGUUAGGGUUAAAAUCACUGUCCAAAAACCUUUGUAGGAACUCUUUUCCAACCUUUUGGAGUUAGGUUGACCAAAAAAAAAAAGAAAAAAAAAUAUUUGGGGUGUUCGGGCUUCCUGAAGGUAAUACCCGGGUAUUAGGUUUUGGUGCUAGGGUAAGGUUUGAGGUUUUUGGCAUUAGGGUUAAAAUCACUGUCCAAAACCUUUUUAGGAACACCUUUCAGACCUUUUGGAGUUUGUACACCAAAAAAAAAAUGUAAAAUGAAAAAAAAAAAUUUGGGGUGUUCGGGCUUCCUGAAGGUAAUACCCGGGUAUCAGGUUAUGGGGCUAUGGUAAGGUUUAAGGUUUUUGACGUUAGGGUGAACAUAACUUUCCAAAACCUUUGUAGGAACUCUUUUCCAACCUUAUGGAGUUCGUUAGACCAAAAAAAAAAAGAAAAAUGAAAAAAAAAUAUUUGGGGUGUUCAGGCUUCCUGAAGGUAAUACCCGGGUAUUAGGUUAUGGGGCUUAGGAAAUGUUUAAGGUUUUUGGCGUUAGGGUUAAAAUCACUGUCCAAAAACCUUUGUAGGAACUCUUUUCCAACUUUUUGGAGUUAGGUUGACCAAAAAAAAAAAGAAAAAAGAAAAAAAAAUUUUUGGGGUGUUCGGGCUUCCUGAAGGUAAUACCCGGGUAUUAGGUUUUGGUGCUAGGGUAAGGUUUGAGGUUUUUGGCAUUAGGGUUAAAAUCACUGUCCAAAACCUUUUUAGGAACACCUUUCAGACCUUUUGGAGUUUGUACACCAAAAAAAAAAUGUAAAAAGAAAAAAGAAAAAAAAAUAUUUGGGGUGUUCGGGCUUCCUGAAGGUAAUACCCGGGUAUUAGGUUAUGGGGCUUAGGAAAUGUUUAAGGUUUUUGGCGUUAGGGUUAAAAUCACUGUCCAAAAACCUUUGUAGGAAGUCUUUUCCAACCUUUUGGAGUUAGGUUGACCAAAAAAAAAAAGAAAAAAGAAAAAAAAAUAUUUGGGGUGUUCGGGCUUCCUGAAGGUAAUACCCGGGUAUUAGGUUUUGGUGCUAGGGUAAGGUUUGAGGUUUUUGGCAUUAGGGUUAAAAUCACUGUCCAAAACCUUUUUAGGAACACCUUCUAGAACUGUUGGAGUUUGUACACCAAAAAAAAAAUGUAAAAAGAAAAAAGAAAAAAAAAUAUUUGGGGUGUUCGGGCUUCCUGAAGGUAAUACCCGGGUAUUAGGUUUUGGGGCUAGGGUAAGGUUUGAGGUUUUUGGCAUUAGGGUUAAAAUCACUGUCCAAAACCUUUUUAGGAACACGUUUCAGACCUUUUGGAGUUUGUACACCGAAAAAAAAAUGUAAAAUUAAAAAAAAAUAUUUGGGGUGUUCGGGCUUCCUGAAGGUAAUACCCGGGUAUCAGGUUAUGGGGCUAUGGUAAGGUUUAAGGUUUUUGGCGUUACGUUUAAAAUCACUGUCCAAAACCUUUGUAGGAACUGUUUCUAAACUUUUGGAGUCAGUUAGACCCAAAAAAAAGAGAAAUGAAAAAAAUUUUUUUGGGGUUUUCAGGCUUCCUGGAGGUAAUACCCUAAUAUUAGGUUUUGGGGCUAGGGUAAUGUUUUAGGUUUUUGGCGUUAGGGUUAAAAUCACUGUCCAAAACCUUUUUAGGAACAUGUUUCAGACCUUUUGGAGUUGGUUACAUACAAAAAAAAUGUAAAAUGAAAAAAAAAAUAUUUGGGGUGUUCGGGCUUCCUGAAGGUAAUACCCGGGUAUUAGGUUAUGGGGCUAUGGUAAGGUUUAAGGUUUUUGACGUUAGGGUGAAAAUAACUUUCCAAAACCUUUGUAGGAACUCUUUUCCAACCUUAUGGAGUUCGUUAGACCAAAAAAAAAGAAAAAUGAAAAAAAAAUAUUUGGGGUGUUCGGGCUUCCUGAAGGUAAUACCCGGGUAUUAGGUUAUGGGGCUUAGGAAAUGUUUAAGGUUUUUGGCGAUAGGGUUAAAAUCACUGUCCAAAAACCUUUGUAGGAACUCUUUUCCAACCUUUUGGAGUUAGGUUGACCAAAAAAAAAAAAGAAAAAAGAAAAAAAAUGUAUUUGGGGUGUUCGGGCUUCCUGAAGGUAAUACCCGGGUAUUAGGUUUUGGUGCUAGGGUAAGGUUUGAGGUUUUUGGCAUUAGGGUUAAAAUCACUGUCCAAAACCUUUUUAGGAACACCUUUCAGACCUUUUGGAGUUUGUACACCAAAAAAAAAAUGUAAAAAGAAAAAAGAAAAAAAAAUAUUUGGGGUGUUCGGGCUUCCUGAAGGUAAUACCCGGGUAUUAGGUUAUGGGGCUUAGGAAAUGUUUAAGGUUUUUGGCGUUAGGGUUAAAAUCACUGUCCAAAACCUUUGUAGGAACUCUUUUCCAACCUUUUGGAGUUAGGUUGACCAAAAAAAAAAAAGAAAAAAGAAAAAAAAAAUAUUUGGGGUGUUCGGGCUUCCUGAAGGUAAUACCCGGGUAUUAGGUUUUGGUGCUAGGGUAAGGUUUGAGGUUUUUGGCAUUAGGGUUAAAAUCACUGUCCAAAACCUUUUUAGGAACACGUUUCAGACCUUUUGGAGUUUGUACACCGAAAAAAAAAUGUAAAAUUAAAAAAAAAUAUUUGGGGUGUUCGGGCUUCCUGAAGGUAAUACCCGGGUAUCAGGUUAUGGGGCUAUGGUAAGGUUUAAGGUUUUUGGCGUUACGUUUAAAAUCACUGUCCAAAACCUUUGUAGGAACUGUUUCUAAACUUUUGGAGUCAGUUAGACCCAAAAAAAAGAGAAAUGAAAAAAAAAAUAUUUGGGGUUUUCAGGCUUCCUGGAGGUAAUACCCUAAUAUUAGGUUUUGGGGCUAGGGUAAGGUUUGAGGUUUUUGGCGUUAGGGUUAAAAUCACUGUCCAAAACCUUUUUAGGAACAUGUUUCAGACCUUUUGGAGUUGGUUACAUACAAAAAAAAUGUAAAAUGAAAAAAAAAAAUUUGGGGUGUUCGGGCUUCCUGAAGGUAAUACCCGGGUAUUAGGUUAUGGGGCUAUGGUAAGGUUUAAGGUUUUUGACGUUAGGGUGAAAAUAACUUUCCAAAACCUUUGUAGGAACUCUUUUCCAACCUUAUGGAGUUCGUUAGACCAAAAAAAAAGAAAAAUGAAAAAAAAAUAUUUGGGGUGUUCGGGCUUCCUGAAGGUAAUACCCGGGUAUUAGGUUAUGGGGCUUAGGAAAUGUUUAAGGUUUUUGGCGAUAGGGUUAAAAUCACUGUCCAAAAACCUUUGUAGGAACUCUUUUCCAACCUUUUGGAGUUAGGUUGACCAAAAAAAAAAAGAAAAAAGAAAAAAAAUGUAUUUGGGGUGUUCGGGCUUCCUGAAGGUAAUACCCGGGUAUUAGGUUAUGGGGCUUUGGAAAGUUUUAGGGUUUUUGGCAUCAGGGUUAAAAUCACUGUCCAAAAACCUUUGUAGGAACUCUUUUCCAACCUUUUGGAGUUAGGUUGACCAAAAAAAAAAGAAAAAAGAAAAAAAAAUAUUUGGGGUGUUCGGGCUUCCUGAAGGUAAUACCCGGGUAUUAGGUUUUGGGGCUAGGGUAAGGUUUGAGGUUUUUGGCAUUAGGGUUAAAAUCACUGUCCAAAACCUUUUUAGGAACACGUUUCAGACCUUUUGGAGUUUGUACUCCGAAAAAAAAUGUAAAAUUAAAAAAAAAUAUUUGGGGUGUUCGGGCUUCCUGAAGGUAAUACCCGGGUAUCAGGUUAUGGGGCUAUGGUAAGGUUUAAGGUUUUUGGCGUUACGGUUAAAAUCACUGUCCAAAACCUUUGUAGGAACUGUUUCUAAACUUUUGGAGUCAGUUAGACCCAAAAAAAAGAGAAAUGAAAAAAAAACAUUUGGGGUUUUCAGGCUUCCUGGAGGUAAUACCCUAAUAUUAGGUUUUGGGGCUAGGGUAAGGUUUGAGGUUUUUGGCGUUAGGGUUAAAAUCACUGUCCAAAACC